This 502-nucleotide ribosomal RNA is filed under the name uncultured bacterium. Its description in RNAcentral is "partial 16S ribosomal RNA". It matches the Rfam family "Bacterial small subunit ribosomal RNA", at positions 29 to 507 of the family's 1533-position model. The record is from RNAcentral.
ACGAACGCUGGCGGCGUGCUUAACCCAUGCAAGUCGAACGGUGAAGCGCUUUCCUUUUUGGUUGGUGUGGAUGAGUGGCGAACGGGUGAGUAACACGUGAGUAACCUGCCCCCUUCUUCUGGAUAACCGCAUGAAAGUGUGGCUAAUACGGGAUAUUCUGCGCCUGCUGCAUGGUGGGUGUGGGAAAGAUUGUGCCUUUGGGUGUUUUCGGUGGGGGAUGGGCUCGCGGCCUAUCAGCUUGUUGGUGGGGUGAUGGCCUACCAAGGCGGUGACGGGUAGCCGGCCGGAGAGGGUGGACGGUCACACGGGGACUGAGACACGGCCCAGACGCCUACGGGAGGCAGCAGUGGGGAAUAUUGCACAAUGGGCGCAAGCCUGAUGCAGCGACGCCGCGUGAGGGAUGGAGGCCUUCGGGUUGUGAACCUCUUUCGCCAGUGAAGCAGGCCUGCUCCUUGUGGGUGGGUUGACGGUAGCUGGAUAAGAAGCGCCGGCUAACUACGUG